Molecule: ribosomal RNA, 761 nt
Filed under: uncultured bacterium
Lineage: Bacteria
Description: bacterial SSU rRNA
Rfam family: Bacterial small subunit ribosomal RNA
Source: RNAcentral
AGAGUUUGAUCCUGGCUCAGGAUGAACGCUAGCGGCAGGCCUAAUACAUGCAAGUCGGACGGUCCCUUCGGGGAUAGUGGCAAACGGGUGCGUAACGCGUAAAUAACCUGCCCCAAACUGGGGGAUAGCCCGGCGAAAGCUGGGGUAAGCCCGCAUAGUCUUUUUGCCUCACCUGGGGCGAUCAGUAAAACAGCAAUGUGGUUUGGGAGGGAUUUGCGUCUGAUUAGCUAGUUGGUAAGGUAAUGGCUUACCAAGGCGACGAUCUGUAACCGACCUGAGAGGGUGGUCGGUCACACUGACACUGAAUAACGGGUCAGACUCCUACGGGAGGCAGCAGUCGGGAAUUUUGGGCAAUGGGCGAAAGCCUGACCCAGCAACGCCGCGUGAAGGAUGAAGUAUUUCGGUAUGUAAACUUCGAAAGAAUGGGAAGAAUAAAUGACGGUACCAUUUAUAAGGUCCGGCUAACUACGUGCCAGCAGCCGCGGUAAUACGUAGGGACCAAGCGUUGUUCGGAUUUACUGGGCGUAAAGGGCGCGUAGGCGGCGUGUUAAGUCAGCUGUGAAAUCUCCGAGCUUAACUCGGAACGGUCAGCUGAUACUGAUGUGCUAGAGUGCAGAAGGGGCAAUCGGAAUUCUUGGUGUAGCGGUGAAAUGCGUAGAUAUCAAGAGGAACACCUGAGGUGAAGACGGGUUGCUGGGCUGACACUGACGCUGAGGCGCGAAAGCUAGGGUAGCAAACGGGAUUAGAUACCCCCGUAGUCC